Molecule: long non-coding RNA, 975 nt
Filed under: Nicotiana benthamiana
Lineage: Eukaryota; Viridiplantae; Streptophyta; Magnoliopsida; Solanales; Solanaceae
Description: long non-coding RNA (NBEN_LNC015599)
Source: RNAcentral
AUACAAUGAGCCCUAUAUAUAUAAUACACAUAACCUAACCUACUCCUAAUACACUUUGGACUAGAGUUCUACUAUAUUUAGAUAUCUAACAAAAUUAAAAUAUGCAUAAUCUCCGGAGUAAAUUACAAUAAAAGCAAUCCUAAGCACUAAAAAGCAAUCUUUCAUGGAAAACUAAGCACACCAGUACACACACAAAAAAAAAAUGCACAAAAAAACACUCACUUUGGGUACACAUAUGGUUUCUAGGCAUUAAUAAGCAUUCCAUUACCUCCCGAGCUUCAUUCGCCGUUUCGAGAACCCAAACAUUUUGUUAAGCAACUAACACCACUUCAAAUCACCCAAACCUUCAAAAAACAGAAAAAAUAGCUACAUCUUCAUAUUUAUUGAAGUAUUUAAGAGAAAUAUCAACAGUUUAACUGCACAUUAUACAGAAAUCGAAAACUCAUCUCCGAAGAAAAAAGGAAGAAAACUAGGUUUAAAUAUCACCAAAAGUAUAGAUUAAACUUAGGAUUUUCUUACUUUGCAAAUGUAUAUGUACACAUACCUAAAUGAAUAUCUAUAAGUAGGUGUAUAGAUAGAGAAAUGUGUAUGUCUAUACUUCGAUGAGCUGAAAGCGUAUAAGUACAACUGUGGAUUAGUGCGUGUGUUAGCGAUUUCUGCUCACAAAUGUAUAGGUACACACUUGUAUCUAUAGGUCAAUGUAUAGACACAGAAAUGGUGUAUGUAUAGGUUGCAGUUGAAAUGUGCCUAUUUUAGCAUUUCUAGUUCAUUCUCAGACCUCACUUUGUGGAUAUAGUGGAUACUUGUUGUUGUACUUCACAAAUGUACAUGUACACUGAGAUUGACUGAAGAGUGUGAAAUUUAGCGUUUCUCUCUCCACAAAUGUUGGAUACAUACAUACAUGUUACUGUGAGGUGAAAAUGACAUGAGGAGAGCAGAAGUGGCGCAUUUUAGCAUUUCGUUCGUUUGUGUAAU